Molecule: transfer RNA, 81 nt
Filed under: Pleomassaria siparia CBS 279.74
Lineage: Eukaryota; Fungi; Ascomycota; Dothideomycetes; Pleosporales; Pleomassariaceae
Rfam family: tRNA
About the family: Transfer RNA (tRNA) molecules are approximately 80 nucleotides in length. Their secondary structure includes four short double-helical elements and three loops (D, anti-codon, and T loops).
Source: Rfam by way of RNAcentral
GGCGCUUUGGCGGAGUGGUUAUCGCGUGAGACUAGAAAUCUCAUUCCUUCGGGAGCGUGUGUUCAAAUCACACAGGCGUCG